CCUUCGGGUGGCAGCAGUAGGGAAUUUUGAGCAAUGGGCGAAAGCCUGACGCAGCAACGCCGCGUGAACGAGACGCCCUUCGGGGUGUAGAGUUCUGUCAGUGGGGACGAAAAAUGACGGUACCUGACUAAGAAGCCCCGGCUAAAUACGUGCCAGCAGCCGCGGUAAUACGUAUGGGGCAAGCGUUAUCCGGAUUUACUGGGUGUAAAGGGAGCGUAGGCGGCCUGGCAAGCCUGAUGUGAAAUACCGGGGCCCAACCCCGGGGCUGCAUUGGGAACUGCCAGGCUGGAGUGCCGGAGAGGCAGGCGGAAUGCCUAGUGUAGCGGUGAAAUGCGUAGAUAUUAGGAGGAACACCAGUGGCGAAGGCGGCCUGCUGGACGGUGACUGACACUGAGGCUCGAAAGCGUGGGGAGCAAACAGGAUUAGAUACCCCUGUAGUC
Molecule: ribosomal RNA, 440 nt
Filed under: uncultured bacterium
Lineage: Bacteria
Description: partial 16S ribosomal RNA
Rfam family: Bacterial small subunit ribosomal RNA
Source: RNAcentral